RNAcentral lists this ribosomal RNA (253 nucleotides) under uncultured bacterium. Its description in RNAcentral is "partial 16S ribosomal RNA". It matches the Rfam family "Bacterial small subunit ribosomal RNA", at positions 524 to 776 of the family's 1533-position model. The record is from RNAcentral.
UACGGAGGGUGCAAGCGUUACUCGGAAUCACUGGGCGUAAAGGGCGCGUAGGCGGCCUAGCAAGUCUGGUGUGAAAGCCCAGGGCUCAACCCUGGAAGGGCACUGGAAACUGUUAGGCUUGAGUUCCGGAGAGGAGGGGGGAAUUCCCGGUGUAGCGGUGAAAUGCGUAGAUAUCGGGAGGAAUACCGGUGGCGAAAGCGCUCUGCUGGACUGCAACUGACACUGAGGGACGAAAGCUAGGGGAGCGAAAGGG